AUUGAACGCUGGCGGCAGGCCUAACACAUGCAAGUCGGGCGAACGAGGCUUCGGCCAAGUGAGCGGCGAACGGGUGAGUAACACGUAGGAAUCUGCCUGGUAGUGGGGGACAACGUCUCGAAAGGGACGCUAAUACCGCAUACGCCCUACGGGGGAAAGCAGGGGCUCUUCGGACCUUGCGCUAUCAGAUGAGCCUGCGUCGGAUUAGCUAGUUGGUAGGGUAAAGGCCUACCAAGGCGACGAUCCGUAACUGGUCUGAGAGGAUGAUCAGUCACACCGGAACUGAGACACGGUCCGGACUCCUACGGGAGGCAGCAGUGGGGAAUAUUGGACAAUGGGGGCAACCCUGAUCCAGCCAUGCCGCGUGUGUGAAGAAGGCCUUCGGGUUGUAAAGCACUUUAGGUCGGGAGGAAGGUUCGCUGGCUAAUAUCCAGCGGAAUUGACGUUACCGACAGAAUAAGCACCGGCUAACUCCGUGCCAGCCGCCGCGGUAA
RNAcentral lists this ribosomal RNA (494 nucleotides) under uncultured bacterium. RNAcentral's name for it is "partial 16S ribosomal RNA". It matches the Rfam family "Bacterial small subunit ribosomal RNA", at positions 30 to 523 of the family's 1533-position model. The record is from RNAcentral.